Archocentrus centrarchus (flier cichlid) is the source of this 927-nucleotide long non-coding RNA. RefSeq lists it as uncharacterized. The record is from RefSeq and is a predicted model, not a curated record. Lineage: Eukaryota; Metazoa; Chordata; Actinopteri; Cichliformes; Cichlidae. The transcript has 5 exons.
GUGUUUAGUGUCCAGGUGUGGAGUGGAGCUUCUUCUUCUUCUGCUGUGUUUGCAGAAACUAAGUCCAUUUGUGAAAUUCACACUGGAAUUCACUGAGAGCCAAGUGCCUGAUUUUGUACACCUGUGGCCACGGAAGUGAUUUGAACACCUGAAUUCAGUGAUUUGGAUGGUGAGUGAAUAUAUUUGGCAGUUUAGUGUAUAUCAUAAACUCAGUUCAGUUUUAUUUAUAUAGCAAGUUGCUCAUAACUACCAGCUCUAAUUAUCAAUAUUAAUUCAGCAUUAUUAACUCUUAGAACAAAAACUUCUUUGUUGGAACCUAAUUUGUCUUCAAAGCAGUUGUGUGUGUUUCACACAGUCACUGAAAUGGCAGCUCAGGUACUUUUAUGAUCUUGACUCUUUGACCUGGACUCAGUCUGACCAGUCGAACGGCAUAUUUUUAAAGUGAAAACAUGAAGGAAAAGAAACUGUGAAGUGUGUAAAAGUCAGAUUAGUGAAGAUGUGAGUCCAGACGACGUGUGUGCAGGAUCAGCUGAGCUCUGCAGGAGACAUGGAGGUUCAAAGGAGGAGAGCCAACAACCAUCAGUCACAACACACACACCAAACACACAUUUUUACAUUCGGUGUCACUUUGACCUUCUUCAUGAUGUCAUCAUCAGCAUGUUUUUAUUAUCAAAUUUCACACUCAGCUGAUUAAAAACAGAAAAUACUCAAAGAUUUACUUUAACAUUCAGUGACUCGUCCUGACAUUAAAUCACAGGAGGAUCAGCAGGUGGAGUCCCGCCUCCUUCCAGGAAUCAGCUCACCUGUGUGUCAGUGUUUGGUGUCCAGGUGUGGAGUGGAGCUUCUUCUUCUUCUGCUCUGUUUGCAGAAACUGUGAAGGUAGAAAGUGUGUGUGAGCUGAUGUGAAUUCAGCAGCAUGGAUCAGUG